GUGUCAGCCGCCGCGGUAAUACGUAGGGUGCGAGCGUUGUCCGGAAUUAUUGGGCGUAAAGAGCUCGUAGGCGGUUUGUCGCGUCGUUCGUGAAAACUCCACGCUUAACGUGGAGCGUGCGGGCGAUACGGGCAGACUUGAGUUCGGUAGGGGAGACUGGAAUUCCUGGUGUAGCGGUGAAAUGCGCAGAUAUCAGGAGGAACACCGGUGGCGAAGGCGGGUCUCUGGGCCGAUACUGACGCUGAGGAGCGAAAGCGUGGGGAGCGAACAGGAUUAGAAACCCCCGUAGUCC
Molecule: ribosomal RNA, 292 nt
Filed under: uncultured bacterium
Lineage: Bacteria
Description: partial 16S ribosomal RNA
Rfam family: Bacterial small subunit ribosomal RNA
Source: RNAcentral